GAUGAAGAACGUAGCGAAAUGCGAUACUUGGUGUGAAUUGCAGAAUCCCGUGAACCAUCGAGUCUUUGAACGCAAGUUGCGCCCGAAGCCAUCAGGUUGAGGGCACGUCUGCCUGGGCGUCACAUAUCGUUGCUCGAUGCCUAUCGCAUUGCGAUAGGACUUAGGGCGAAUGAUGGCUUCCCGUGAGCGUUGUUGCCUCGCGGUUGGUUGAAAAUCGAGUGCAUGGUGUCGGGUGUACCAUGAUGGAUGGUGGUUGAGUGAUGAUGCUCGAGACCAAUCAUGGGUAACUCCACCAGAAUUGGGCUCGGUGACCCACAUGCGUCCCUUGGAUGCUCCCUAAGGAGACCUCAGGUCAGGCGGGGCUACCCGUUGAGUUUAAGCAUAUCAAUAAGCGGAGGA
This 399-nucleotide unclassified non-coding RNA is filed under the name soil metagenome. Its description in RNAcentral is "partial contains 5.8S ribosomal RNA, internal transcribed spacer 2, and large subunit ribosomal RNA". The stretch from base 1 to 122 matches the Rfam family "5.8S ribosomal RNA", at positions 35 to 154 of the family's 154-position model. The record is from RNAcentral.